UCGAACAGACCUAAACUCCUAGCCCCUACACCAAGGUUUCAUUUUAAUCCAACAUCGAGGUCGCAAUCUCUUUUUUCGAUUAGAACUCUCAAAAAAAAUUACGCUGUUAUCCCUAAGGUAAUUUACUCUUAUAAUCCAAAAUAAGGGAUCAUUUACUCACAAAUAAGUGUUCAAAUAAUAAAAAAAGUUUCUUAAAUUUUUCAAUCGCCCCAACCUAAUUAAUUAUUAUAUAAAAAUUUAUUAAUUCUUAAAAUCCUCAUAUAACUUUUAAUAAAACUCUAUAGGGUCUUCUCGUCUUUUAUUUACAAUUAAGCUUUCUAACUUAAAAAUAAAAUUCUAAUAAAUUUAAAUAGAGACAGUUAUUUUCUCAUCCAACCUUUCAUUCCAGCUUUCAAUUAAAAAACUAAUGAUUAUGCUACCUUUGCACGGUCAAAUUACCGCGGCCAUUUAAUAUAUCUCAUUGGGCAGGUCAGACCUUAAAUUAUACUCAAAAA
This 494-nucleotide ribosomal RNA is filed under the name Opterus sp. 1 MB-2015. Its description in RNAcentral is "partial 16S ribosomal RNA". Lineage: Eukaryota; Metazoa; Arthropoda; Insecta; Coleoptera; Curculionidae. The record is from RNAcentral.